GUAGGUGAACCUGCGGAAGGAUCAUUACAGUGUUCCCUGCCCUCACGGGUAGAAACGCCCACCCUUGUAUAAUAUAUCUUGUUGCUUUGGCAGGCCGCCCUCGGGCACCGGCUCCGGCUGGAUCGUGCCUGCCAGAGGACCCCAAACUCUGAAUGUUAGUGUCGUCUGAGUACUAUAUAAUAGUUAAAACUUUCAACAACGGAUCUCUUGGUUCUG
RNAcentral lists this unclassified non-coding RNA (216 nucleotides) under rhizosphere metagenome. Its description in RNAcentral is "partial ribosomal RNA internal transcribed spacer region". The record is from RNAcentral.